GUGGGGAAUUUUGGACAAUGGGGGCAACCCUGAUCCAGCAAUGCCGCGUGCAGGAAGAAGGCCUUCGGGUUGUAAACUGCUUUUGUACGGAACGAAAAGGCUCUGGUUAAUACCUGGGGCACAUGACGGUACCGUAAGAAUAAGCACCGGCUAACUACGUGCCAGCAGCCGCGGUAAUACGUAGGGUGCAAGCGUUAAUCGGAAUUACUGGGCGUAAAGCGUGCGCAGGCGGUGCUGUAAGACAGGCGUGAAAUCCCCGGGCUUAACCUGGGAACUGCAUCUGUGACUGCAUUGCUGGAGUGCGGCAGAGGGGGAUGGAAUUCCGCGUGUAGCAGUGAAAUGCGUAGAUAUGCGGAGGAACACCGAUGGCGAAGGCAAUCCCCUGGGCCUGCACUGACGCUCAUGCACGAAAGCGUGGGGAGCAAACAGGAUUAGAUACCCCUGUAGUCC
Molecule: ribosomal RNA, 450 nt
Filed under: uncultured bacterium
Lineage: Bacteria
Description: partial 16S ribosomal RNA
Rfam family: Bacterial small subunit ribosomal RNA
Source: RNAcentral